AGAACGAACGCUGGCGGCAUGCCUAACACAUGCAAGUCGAACGAGACCUUCGGGUCUAGUGGCGCACGGGUGCGUAACGCGUGGGAAUCUGCCCUUAGGUACGGAAUAACAGUGAGAAAUUACUGCUAAUACCGUAUGAUGUCUUCGGACCAAAGAUUUAUCGCCUAGGGAUGAGCCCGCGUUGGAUUAGCUAGUUGGUGGGGUAAAGGCCUACCAAGGCGACGAUCCAUAGCUGGUCUGAGAGGAUGAUCAGCCACACUGGGACUGAGACACGGCCCAGACUCCUACGGGAGGCAGCAGUGGGGAAUAUUGGACAAUGGGCGAAAGCCUGAUCCAGCAAUGCCGCGUGAGUGAAGAAGGCCUUCGGUUGUAAAGCUCUUUUACCCGGGAAGAUAAUGACUGUACCGGGAGAAGUAAGCCCCGGACUAACUCCGCGCCAGCAGCCGC
This 447-nucleotide ribosomal RNA is filed under the name uncultured bacterium. RNAcentral describes it as "SSU rRNA". It matches the Rfam family "Bacterial small subunit ribosomal RNA", at positions 26 to 518 of the family's 1533-position model. The record is from RNAcentral.